Molecule: ribosomal RNA, 352 nt
Filed under: uncultured bacterium
Lineage: Bacteria
Description: bacterial SSU rRNA
Rfam family: Bacterial small subunit ribosomal RNA
Source: RNAcentral
AGAGUUUGAUCCUGGCUCAGGAUGAACGCUAGCUACAGGCUUAACGCAUGCAAGUCGAGGGGAAACGACAUCGAAAGCUUGCUUUUGAUGGGCGUCGACCGGCGCACGGGUGAGUAACGCGUAUCCAACCUGCCCACCACUUGGGGAUAACCUUGCGAAAGUAAGACUAAUACCCAAUGACGUCUCUAGAAGACAUCUGAAGGAGAUUAACGAUUUAUCGGCGAUGGAUGGGGAUGCGUCUGAUUAGCUUGUUGGCGGGGUAACGGCCACCAAGGCGACGAUCAGUAGGGGUUCUGAGAGGAAGGUCCCCCACAUUGGAACUGAGACACGGUCCAAACUCCUACGGGAGGCA